CAAUGUCUCUCUAUUUCCCAUAGAAUGAUAAAUGGAUAGUCAUUUUAAAAACUGAUGUUAAUCUCUUAAAAAGGGCUUCAAUUUAUUUGGAAUAAACUUAAUAUCAUGAAAAUAAUUUUUUAAUCUUCUUCAAAGUUAGCUAAAUAUACACAUUUUUAUACAUAUUUAUUGAUCCAAUUAUGCUAUCGGAAUGAUUAUAAUUAUUUUUACUGAACAUGUUCGAAUUUAUUUGUCUGUAUAUUGAAUAUAUUGAUAUUAAGUCAUAUUUUUCUCAAAUUUUUGCAAAUUUAUUUUUUAAGUUAUUUGUGAUAAUCAUAUUGAUUAGUAUCUUUAGUUCGCCACUAAAUCAAAAAAUAUGAGGAAAAUUUUAGAAUCCAUGUUUUAAUGCAUCAAUGUCUCCCUAUUUCCCAUAGCAUGAUAAAUGGAUAGUCAUUUCAAAAACUGAUGCCAGUCUCUUAAAAAGGGCUUCAAUUUAUUUGGAAUUAACUUAAUAUCAUGAAAAUAAUUUUUUAAUCUUCUUCAAAGUUAGCUAAAUAUCCACAUUUUUAUACAUAUUGAUUGAUUAAUUCAAUUAUGUCAUCGAUAUAGUUAUGAUUAUUUUUACUUAACAUGUUUGAAUUUAUUUGUCCGUAUAUUGAACAUUUUGUUAUGGAGUCAUAUUUUUCUCAAACUCUCCCAAUUUGUUUUCACGUUAUUUGUGAUAAUCACAUUGAUUAGUAUCUUUUGGUCGCCACUCGAUCAAAAAAGAUGGAAAAUUUUAGAAUCCACUUUUUAAGGCAUCAAUGUUUCUCUAUUUCCCAUAGCAUGAUGAAUGGGUAGUCAUUUUAAAAAUUUAUGCGAAUCUCGUAAAAAGGGCUUCAAAUUAUUCGGAAUUAACUUAAUAUCAUUAAAA
Non-coding RNA from Styela clava, 892 nucleotides. Lineage: Eukaryota; Metazoa; Chordata; Ascidiacea; Stolidobranchia; Styelidae. The record is from RefSeq and is a predicted model, not a curated record.